CGCAGAGGGACUCGAUCCAAGAACCCUGGGAUCAUGACCUGAACUGAAGGCAGUUGCCCAACCAACGGAGCCACUGAGGGGUCCCUGAUUGAGAUGAGUAAAACUGAGGCACCAAGGGAUUAAGUGAUUUGUCUAGAGCCACACAAUGACAGAGCUGUGAUCAGAACUGAGCACUCUGGAUCCCAAGGCUUUUAUCUAUCAUGUGAAGGUGGUCCAUUCUAUUUCUGGGAUAUUCUAAUUCAGGUAUCUUCAGCCUUCAACCUUGCAUCAGAGGCACAUCAGAAAUCAAGGUUCUGAGCUGGCUUAGGACAAAGAAAUGGAGACCAACCUAGCUCGGGCAAUGCCAGGAGUGUCUCUGCAGAGAUGUCUUUAUCAAGGACCCCGAAGACCAGAGGAGGCAAGGAUGUGAAGAAGAGGUUGAAGAAUAUCAUCUGCCAGUAAUCGAUCAUGGUGGAGCCGGAGAAACCGCAGAAAAACUGGUACCAGAAGAGCAGGUUGACGUAGCACUGCAGGCGGAGAGUGUGGCCUUGUGAGUGCGGACCCAGGGGCCGUGGUCACCAACGGCUGCCUAGGAGCCUCUGGCAAGUCACCACGCUGACUCGGAGCUUCUGUUUUCUCAUUUGUGACACGCAGAGUUGUGUAAGGGUCAGCGGUAACUAAUCCUUAGAGUAGCAGCUGCCACGACAACAACUAUGACUGUGAGUUAGGACCUGAAGGGAACUACACCGACUCGUUAAGGAGACCUGUGGGAUGUUUCUUGGCUCUGAAAGAGAUCCUGGUGCCCUGAGAUAUCCUGGACCUUGAAUCUUUCUGUCAGAAGGAGUGAGAAGGCUCAAUCUGUUUGUUGUGCUGCCGGCCCUGUUAGGACCUUGCUUGCUUCCGCUUCCAUCUGCUGGAAUCUCUGCCCUAUGGAGGGGGCGCCCAGAACCUGGCGACGGCAUCACUGAGAGGGGGCCUGCGUUUUCCUCCCAAGAAGCUACAGUGCAGUAAUUAAUUCAUUGUUCAAAUUUCAGAGCAGGCAGCAUUUUAAUCCCCUCUGAAAUUGGUUUCGGAUGUGGAAGUCAUAGUUCUCCACCCUCUAAUUGCAAUGGGGAGAUAAUGCGGCAUCAGUAUCACAAUUUCGAGCAUGGCAUCAGGCUGGAAAUAAAUACCAUUUAAGCUUUGAAAGCA
This is a long non-coding RNA of Mustela erminea (ermine), 1170 nucleotides long. RefSeq lists it as uncharacterized. The record is from RefSeq and is a predicted model, not a curated record. Lineage: Eukaryota; Metazoa; Chordata; Mammalia; Carnivora; Mustelidae. The transcript has 6 exons.